RNAcentral lists this ribosomal RNA (546 nucleotides) under uncultured bacterium. Its description in RNAcentral is "bacterial SSU rRNA". It matches the Rfam family "Archaeal small subunit ribosomal RNA", at positions 482 to 1020 of the family's 1478-position model. The record is from RNAcentral.
CGGCCGAUGGUAACCGUUUUUAUUGGGUUUAAAGGGUCCGUAGCCGGCUUACUAAGUCUCUUGGGAAAUCUGGCGGCUCAAUCGUCAGGCGGCCAAGAGAUACUGGUAGGCUUGGGACCGGGAGAGGUGGGAGGUACUCCAGGGGUAGGGGUGAAAUCUCGUAACCCUUGGGGGACCACCGAUGGCGAAGGCAUCCCACCAGAACGGGUCCGACGGUGAGGGACGAAAGCUGGGGGCACGAACCGGAUUAGAUACCCGGGUAGUCCCAGCUGUAAACGAUGCUCGCUAGGUGUCAGGUGCGGUGCGACCGCAUCUGGUGCCGCAGUGAAAACUUGAAGCGAGUCACCUGGGAAGUUACGGUCGCAAGGCUGAAACUUAAAGGAAUUGGCGGGGGAGCACUACAACCGGUUGGACCCUGCGGUUCAAUUGGAUUCAACGCCCGGAAACUUACCGGACUCGACAGCACUAUGAAAUUCAGGCUAAAACCUUACCCGAAUUCGCUGAAAAGAAGUUGCCAUNGCCGUCCUCCAGUUCCUUAUCCGUGAG